RNAcentral lists this non-coding RNA (117 nucleotides) under Pongo abelii (Sumatran orangutan). The record is from Rfam by way of RNAcentral. Lineage: Eukaryota; Metazoa; Chordata; Mammalia; Primates; Hominidae.
GCCAGGUGUGGUGGCUCACACCUGUAAUCCCAGCAUUUUGGGAGGCUGAGAUGGGCGGAUUACCUGAGGUCAGGAGUUUGAGACCAGCCUGACCAACGUGGUGAAACCCCAUCUCUA